UAGAAAAAGAUAAAGUACUAAAGUACUUUUUAGUUACAUUAAAAAAGUCUCCGCAGUUUAUGGAGUAUCUUUAAAA
Molecule: transfer RNA, 76 nt
Filed under: Ampullaceana balthica
Lineage: Eukaryota; Metazoa; Mollusca; Gastropoda; Lymnaeidae
Description: tRNA-Val
Source: RNAcentral